UGUGAUUGAGAUUGAAACUGUUGCUGAGGUUGAGGCUGAGGCUGUGUUUGUGGUUGAGAUUGAGGUUGAAAUUGGUGCAGAGGUUGGGGCUGAGUAUAUGGUUGAGACUGAAAUUGAAAUUGCUGCUGAGGCUGAGAGUGUGGUUGUGAUUGAAAUUGAGGUUGCAAUUGUUGCCGGAUUUGAGGUUGUAAAUGUGGCUGAGAUGGAACUUGCAACUGGUGCUGGGUUUGAGGUUGGGCCCAUGGAACGACAUAAUUGUUGUAAGUUGCUUGCCCUUGGUUUCCAGGAUAAUUUUGGGAAAUAUAAGGAUACCCUUGUGUGCUUGAGGUUGAAACUUGAGGCAUGCUCUGGUCAGCAGAUGUUGAAGUAUGUAGUGUUUGGGGAUGAUGGGAUGCUGUUGUUGAUAAGGUGAUACUUAGAAGGUCAAUUAUUUCCUGUUCUUUUGUCGUACUAACUGGUGUAGGGGUUGAAACAGUGGUUGUAGAAGAAGCCGCAUUAUUGGUAUCCACUGGCACGAGUGCCAUGCUGGUUCCACAUUUGCUUUGAGAUGGACUUGACUGUGUUUUUGAAUGCCUCCGAGCAAGCUGUGCAAAGUCAUCCUCCUCUUCAUCUUCUUCGGCAAUAGGGCUCCUUGUUACAUUUGCAACUGACACAGUGGCAUUAGCGCUAGAACUUGGGCAGGAGCCUUUUACUUCAGUCGAUAUGAUAUUGGAGGAACCUUCGCUUGGCUUGGCACCUAAAUUAUUAACUUGAGUUGGCAUAAGAGAACCAGAAGCUAUAGCAUCAUG
Molecule: unclassified non-coding RNA, 788 nt
Filed under: Hevea brasiliensis (rubber tree)
Lineage: Eukaryota; Viridiplantae; Streptophyta; Magnoliopsida; Malpighiales; Euphorbiaceae
Source: RNAcentral